RNAcentral lists this ribosomal RNA (253 nucleotides) under uncultured bacterium. RNAcentral's name for it is "partial 16S ribosomal RNA". It matches the Rfam family "Bacterial small subunit ribosomal RNA", at positions 524 to 776 of the family's 1533-position model. The record is from RNAcentral.
UACGUAGGUGGCAAGCGUUGUCCGGAUUUAUUGGGUUUAAAGGGUGCGUAGGCGGUCUUAUAAGUCAGUGGUGAAAUACGGCAGCUCAACUGUCGAGGUGCCAUUGAUACUGUAGGACUUGAGUACAGACGAGGUAGGCGGAAUUGCUGGUGUAGCGGUGAAAUGCGUAGAGAUCAGCAGGAAUACCCGUGGCGAAGGCGGCCCCCUGGGCCGAACCUGACGCUGAGGCGCGAAGGCUAGGGGAGCGAACGGG